Long non-coding RNA from Hibiscus syriacus, 215 nucleotides. RefSeq lists it as uncharacterized. The record is from RefSeq and is a predicted model, not a curated record. NCBI's taxonomy places the organism in Eukaryota, Viridiplantae, Streptophyta, Magnoliopsida, Malvales, Malvaceae. The transcript has 3 exons.
UCGACAAAGUGUUUUUGAACUUAAAAUGAUUUUGGAGAGGGAAACCUGGCUUAGUUUGCCACCAGAGACGGCCCAAAUAAUUAGUUUUGCUGGGCUGGUUGGUGAUGGAGCACCCUUAAUGGCUGCAUCUGGUGGAAGGUCUUCUAAUUCUAGUGUCCUUCACAUCGACAAAUCAGCCAACAAAGUCGACACAGAUAUCAAGAAGAGUAGGUUUU